UACAGAGGUCUCAAGCGUUGUUCGGAUUCAUUGGGCGUAAAGGGUGCGUAGGUGGCGGGGUAAGUCAGGUGUGAAAUCUCGGGGCCAACCCCGAAACUGCACUUGAUACUGCCUUGCUCGAGUACUGGAGAGGAGAUUGGAAUUUACGGUGUAGCAGUGAAAUGCGUAGAUAUCGUAAGGAAGACCAGUGGCGAAGGCGGGUCUCUGGACAGUUCCUGACGCUGAGGCACGAAGGUCAGGGGAGCAAACGGG
RNAcentral lists this ribosomal RNA (252 nucleotides) under uncultured bacterium. RNAcentral's name for it is "partial 16S ribosomal RNA". It matches the Rfam family "Bacterial small subunit ribosomal RNA", at positions 524 to 776 of the family's 1533-position model. The record is from RNAcentral.